Long non-coding RNA from Ostrea edulis (European flat oyster), 1311 nucleotides. RefSeq lists it as uncharacterized. NCBI's taxonomy places the organism in Eukaryota, Metazoa, Mollusca, Bivalvia, Ostreida, Ostreidae. The record is from RefSeq and is a predicted model, not a curated record. The transcript is spliced from 2 exons.
AGCACGUCUGGGGUGAAAUGGAACGACAUCUACGUCGUUUACCAAAUCAGCCAGUGCCAUUGGCUGAUUUAGGCUAGGCUUUAACCAACAUCUGGAACAACAUCCCUCAAGCAUUUCUUAACACUUUAGUGGCAUCAAUGAGGCGCCGUUGUCAAGCAUGCGUGAAUGCAAAUGAUAGUCACACGCGUUAUUAACUUUGUUAACUCAAGUUCGAAUACCAGUAUCUUUCGAGUGUGUUGAAAUUCACGCUUCCACUGUCGUCAGGGGAGGUGCGGUUAUCAUCUCCGCACAGCCAAUCAGAAUCGCGGAAGAAUUGUCCGCCAUUACCUCCGUCAAAACUUAUGAUGACGGAGGUUUUGAGGUACAGAUGUUUUAGCCUGAUUACUUCGAGUUCUCAUAAAAUUGGUGGAAUUGUGUGCAUCGGGGAAAUGCAACAGUGAUUCACGUUACCCAGAAAGGAUACUAGAAGUGAUGUUUAUCCCAUUUCCAAACCCAAAAUCACAUAAAGAUUAAUAAGGCGUGUGGUAGGCCCCACAGUAUAGUAAGAGCAGAAUGGACCGGCACACAAAAUUCAUUGGAUAUACUUGUAACAGCAGCACAAGUCAGAGAAUUUACAAGACCAGUUUACAACAUCAGAAAAUGCCUUUCAUCAACAGAGAAUACUUAAUCAUCACCUGCAACUCCAGUUAUCAAUGGAAGCCCAAGAUUAACCCCACCAACCGGCCUCCCCUUUUGACAUUAACAGUACUCUAUAGCAAGAGAGAAAAAAACCAGGGUUGUUUUUAUAUUAUAUCAAUUUGAGAUAUGCCACAUUUUGUACUUUGUUAGAGUUUUUUUUAUACAUCUGAGCAAAUUCCCCAGUGUGUAAAAAAAAGGAGGGACAUAACAAAUAUGACAAAACAAUCGCAGUUGUUAUUAACACUGAUGAGGCUGAGACAUAAUUUUGAAAUCAAGGACUUGACAUCAAGAUUUUGUAUUUCAACACAAGUAUCAGUGAUGUAUUCUGUGCCUGAAUUGACCUUAUGUUGUGUUAGGUUGUGUUUCAAUAUAGUCCUAUAGGAAUGAUAUUAACAACAUGACAACUGAAUAAAAGCUCAGUUCCCAACAACGAUCGCUAUCAUUGAUUGUGCAGAAAGGAAAUCACAGAAACCAUCUUCUUUAAAACUGCAGUUACAAAUUAUACAUUCUGACUACAGAUCAGCUACAACCUAAAGGGGACUUGUGGAUUGUGAUCCUUUAGGGGACACAAUGGAAACUAGCUGUAUGCUAAUUUGUGUUAUCUUGGAUAAAUAAAGGCUAUUAUUAUUAUCA